AACUCUGAGCGGUGGAUCGCUCGGCUCACGGAUCGACGAAGAACGCAGCAAGCUACGAGACUUAACGUGAAUUGCAGGACGCAUUUAAACUGAGUUUUCGAAAGCUCAUUGCGGUCUCGGAAAAUAACCAAGACCUUAUUUCGAAGUCAGUCU
Molecule: ribosomal RNA, 153 nt
Filed under: Stegodyphus mimosarum
Lineage: Eukaryota; Metazoa; Arthropoda; Arachnida; Araneae; Eresidae
Description: 5.8S ribosomal RNA
Rfam family: 5.8S ribosomal RNA
About the family: 5.8S ribosomal RNA (5.8S rRNA) is a component of the large subunit of the eukaryotic ribosome.
Source: Rfam by way of RNAcentral